Molecule: non-coding RNA, 2136 nt
Organism: Salmo salar (Atlantic salmon)
Lineage: Eukaryota; Metazoa; Chordata; Actinopteri; Salmoniformes; Salmonidae
Source: RefSeq, a predicted model, not a curated record
UAUCCGGUUGUCGUCUGUAGUCUUCCUCGAAAUUCGAACAUCGAGUUUACCCAGUCACUGCUCAAUUUGCCAUGAGUGAUGUGGCUAAUAUCCUUUACGAACAUUCCCAGAUGAAGAUAUCUAAACUUGAUAAGGAUACAAGUUCUUCCACAAACAAUAUAUAUUCAACUAUCAACGACCCAGAAAACGGAGGCAGUGGGAGAACCUAUUCUAAUACCUAGCUAACAGUAACCGCCAAUGGAAGAGGGUGAAAGGAUUCGCUAGCAGUUCCAGCUGUCAGAGAAGGGAGAGUAGGCUACUCUGGAUAGGGCAGAUACAGAGAGAUGUAAAACCCUGUCUGCAGAUGAAGAGAUCCCAAUGACUGUCCCGAGAGAAUAAGGGUACAUCCUUGUAUACCAUGGAUUAUAAGUGUACCUAUCACCCAAGGAGCCCGUCAUCGUAAACCACUUCUGUUCAUGUGCAGCUGGGAGAGCUUUGUGCAAUCUGGUGCCUCUACUCUUCCAGACUGCACAUUACACCACAAUGGGGUUGAAGAUCGUGCCACCACCAUUGCCUUGCACAGGGAUACUGCAGUCGUGACACAGGCCAAGUUUUGAAAUUGAGAUCAUUUUUCAUAUUGUCAUAGAGAAGACAUAUUUAGCAUUUCUGUAAACUCAUAUUACUGCACAUCGUUCUACAUUCAUCCUGAAUCUUUCUUUAUUAUUUUUUUGACCAGAGCCCACUGAUGAAAUGCUUGUGAGGAAGCCAAGGACAUCAGGCAGGAGUGGCAUAAAAUCCACUCUUUACCAAGCAAUCCCUGGGACCCUUCCUGACGUGACAGUGCUGUCUGCUGGACCAAGUUUGAGGAGCAUGAGACCAUAACCUGCCAUUACCAAGGUGUUGCAUGGAUUGGAAGAAAUUACUCUGGUUGACUCUAAAUUUGGUCCAGUAUUGUCAUAUCAGUGUCCCUUUACUGUCACUAGAGAUUCUAAAGCAUUCAGAUGCUCCUGCUUUCCCCCAACUCCCAGUAAAAGAAACGGUCAUUUAAACUUUGUCCCUACUUGCACUCAGUUUUACCACAUGGAGAGCUUAAAGGUGUCACCAUCAUUGUCAUCUGCUAUUGAGAAUGGUACAGUCGAGCAGUCUGCCCGUCCACUAUGGAAGAAAUUAAGAAACCACAUGUGACUGCUACCCGGUUUAGUGAGGCAUGCCACGUGCGUGGGGUGUCAUCUCGUGCCCUAGCCAUGAGAAUGCUUAAAGGUGAGCAGCAAACCGAAGCUAUGAGAAAGGGGCUUGAGCCAGAGGUUCUAUAGAACUACUCUGAAUUUUUUAAUGUCUCGGUCAAACCUUGUGAUUUCGUUGUGAACCCAGAUGCACCCUAUCUUGGGGCAUGCCCUGAUGGGAAAGUUUAUGACCCUUCUGCAACGCCACCCUUCGGGCUAGCUGAAAUCAAGUGUCCUAAUAUUGAGUGUAACUGAUGCGAAGCACAUUAAGUUUGUCAAUGGCCCGGCCAAGCUCAAUCACAGCCACAAAUAUCACUGGCAAGUCCAGGGCCAACUGGCUGUAACCGGUUUAGAUUGAUGCGACUUUGUUACAAGCACUAGAAGUGAUAUUACAGUAGAGGGAGUUGAGAUGAUGCUUUGAUAGCAGAGAUGAGAGAAACUUGACUACUUCUACACCUACAUGGAUGUGUACUUUAAGAUGUAGUGUAGCAGGUGAGCCAAUCCCACUUGGCAGGCCACUGUAACAUUGUUGCCCAAGGCAAUGUACAUAUAAUGUCAUGUAUUUAACUUAUCAAAAUUGUAUGUAGAGUAAAUUAUUAUAAUGAAUGAAUUGUGUGAUCUUGUUUGUCUAUCCCGUGUGGCUCAGUUGGUUGAACAUGACGUUUGCAAUGCUAGGGUUGUGUGUUUGAUUCCCACAGGGGACCAGUACGACGUGAAAGUACGGUUAUGUAUGCACUCACUCCUGGAAGUCACUCUGGAUAAGAGCAUCUGCUAAAUGACUAAAAUGUAAAUGUAAGCAACAUUGCAAUAGAAUAAAUUAUUCUACUAAUUUCAUUGUUUGAUAUUUGCUAUUUUAUGACCGGCUAAACAUAACAUGUCACAGAAUUAAUAUUCAAAUGUAUUUAUUGAAUAAAAUCUUCAAAUUAAAAAAGGA